CCUACGGGUGGCUGCAGUGAGGAAUAUUGGUCAAUGGGCGCUAGCCUGAACCAGCCAAGUAGCGUGAAGGAUGACUGCCCUAUGGGUUGUAAACUUCUUUUAUCUGGGAGUAAAGUGCAGUAUGUAUCCUGCUUUGCAUGUCCCUUAUGAAUAAGGAUCGGCUAACUCCGUGCCAGCCGCCGCGGUAAUACUGAGGAUCCGAGCGUUAUCCGGAUUUAUUGGGUUUAAAGGGGGCGUAGGCGGGUUGUUAAGUCAGUUGUGAAAGUUGUGGGCUCAACCGUAAAAUUGCAGUUGAUACUGGGAUCCUAGAGUACAGGAGAGGUAGGCGGAAUUCGUGGUGUAGCGGUGAAAUGCUUAGAUAUCACGAAGAACUCCGAUUGCGAAGGCAGCCUGCUGGACUGUAACUGACGCUGAGGCACGAAAGCGUGGGUAUCAAACAGGAUUAGAUACCCUUGUAGUC
RNAcentral lists this ribosomal RNA (460 nucleotides) under uncultured bacterium. RNAcentral describes it as "partial 16S ribosomal RNA". It matches the Rfam family "Bacterial small subunit ribosomal RNA", at positions 338 to 795 of the family's 1533-position model. The record is from RNAcentral.